This 1370-nucleotide ribosomal RNA is filed under the name uncultured bacterium. RNAcentral's name for it is "bacterial SSU rRNA". It matches the Rfam family "Bacterial small subunit ribosomal RNA", at positions 28 to 1381 of the family's 1533-position model. The record is from RNAcentral.
GAUGAACGCUGGCGGCGUGCCUAAUACAUGCAAGUCGAGCGAACGGACGAGAAGCUUGCUUUUCUGAUGUUAGCGGCGGACGGGUGAGUAACACGUGGAUAACCUACCUAUAAGACUGGGAUAACUUCGGGAAACCGGAGCCAAUACCGGAUAAUAUUUUGAACCGCAUGGUUCAAAAGUGAAAGACGGUCUUGCUGUCACUUAUAGAUGGAUCCGCGCUGCAUUAGCUAGUUGGUAAGGUAACGGCUUACCAAGGCAACGAUGCAUAGCCGACCUGAGAGGGUGAUCGGCCACACUGGAACUGAGACACGGUCCAGACUCCUACGGGAGGCAGCAGUAGGGAAUCUUCCGCAAUGGGCGAAAGCCUGACGGAGCAACGCCGCGUGAGUGAUGAAGGUCUUCGGAUCGUAAAACUCUGUUAUUAGGGAAGAACAUAUGUGUAAGUAACUGUGCACAUCUUGACGGUACCUAAUCAGAAAGCCACGGCUAACUACGUGCCAGCAGCCGCGGUAAUACGUAGGUGGCAAGCGUUAUCCGGAAUUAUUGGGCGUAAAGCGCGCGUAGCGGUUUUUUAGUCUGAUGUGAAAGCCCACGGCUCAACCGUGGAGGGUCAUUGGAAACUGGAAAACUUGAGUGCAGAAGAGGAAAGUGGAAUUCCAUGUGUAGCGGUGAAAUGCGCAGAGAUAUGGAGGAACACCAGUGGCGAAGGCGACUUUCUGGUCUGUAACUGACGCUGAUGUGCGAAAGCGUGGGGAUCAAACAGGAUUAGAUACCCUGGUAGUCCACGCCGUAAACGAUGAGUGCUAAGUGUUAGGGGGUUUCCGCCCCUUAGUGCUGCAGCUAACGCAUUAAGCACUCCGCCUGGGGAGUACGACCGCAAGGUUGAAACUCAAAGGAAUUGACGGGGACCCGCACAAGCGGUGGAGCAUGUGGUUUAAUUCGAAGCAACGCGAAGAACCUUACCAAAUCUUGACAUCCUUUGACAACUCUAGAGAUAGAGCCUUCCCCUUCGGGGGACAAAGUGACAGGUGGUGCAUGGUUGUCGUCAGCUCGUGUCGUGAGAUGUUGGGUUAAGUCCCGCAACGAGCGCAACCCUUAAGCUUAGUUGCCAUCAUUAAGUUGGGCACUCUAAGUUGACUGCCGGUGACAAACCGGAGGAAGGUGGGGAUGACGUCAAAUCAUCAUGCCCCUUAUGAUUUGGGCUACACACGUGCUACAAUGGACAAUGCAAAGGGCAGCGAAACCGCGAGGUCAAGCAAAUCCCAUAAAGUUGUUCUCAGUUCGGAUUGUAGUCUGCAACUCGACUACAUGAAGCUGGAAUCGCUAGUAAUCGUAGAUCAGCAUGCUACGGUGAAUACGUUCCCGGGUCU